This 5238-nucleotide long non-coding RNA is filed under the name Citrus maxima (pomelo). Its description in RNAcentral is "long non-coding RNA (CMAX_LNC004399)". The record is from RNAcentral. Lineage: Eukaryota; Viridiplantae; Streptophyta; Magnoliopsida; Sapindales; Rutaceae.
ACACAUCAAAUCACAAAAAAACAUCCCCCUUAAGAAUCCCCCUCCGGUGGUGAAACAGAGAGAGACUGGCCCUUUAGGGACCAGUCUUUCCUUUAAUAAAUAUAACUCUCUCUAUUAUAAUAGAGAGAGAUAUAUUUAUUAUGUUAAUAAAUAGAUAUCUCUAUAUUAUAAUAUAGAGAUAUCUAUUUAUUAUGUAUUUAUAUAUUAUAAAAAUAUAUAAAUAUUAAAUAUUAAAUUUAAAUAUUAAAAAAAAUAUAUAAAUAUUAAAUAUUAAAAAAAAUAUUUAUAUAUAUUUUAUAUCUAACAUAAUGAGUAUCUAUAAUAUAAUAUAUUAUAGAUACUCAUUAUGCAGUUCUUCUCGUGCGUUAUAACGCACGUAAUUUUAAUCCUCGUGUGGGACAUUAGGGGGGGUCUUAAAACCCCGAUUCUCUGUACUAAACAUCAUCAUACAACAAGUUUUUAUCCUGGGGUGGGUACCCUUUUAAGGCACUUCUUACAUCAAGCAACAAACACAAACACCAAACCUCCUGACCUCCGAACUCGACAACUCAAACUCAACAACUCAAACUCAACAACUCAACUCCUGACCUCCGAACUCAACAACUCAACUCCUCAACUUUCAACUCAACCUACCCAUUCCUUGUUCCUAUUUCCAAAUUUCCUAGUUCCGAUUUCCCUCUCCUCUAAUUCCUAGUUUCAGUUUCGACCCUUCUCUUCUCCCCUCCGUGGUCCCCUUUCCGGAUCGGGGACCACUUCGGCCUCGCUUCGCUCCUUUUCUCUCAAGGUUUCUCAAAAAAGAAAAAGAAAUUACGUAAGUGAGCACAGAAACUUCUACCUUCAUCCGAAGUGGGAGCUCUAAAGGCUGUGCUUGGGGUAUCUUUCGAGAAUUGAUACCCCGGGGAAGUGGUAUUGGUGACACCACUUCCCUAUGCCCAUGUUGACCGACGUUGGCUCCAUACGGAGGGAACGGGGGAUUCUUUUGGUUGGGGAAUGUUUUUUGCUUAACACAUCAAAUCACAAAAAAACAUCCCCCUUAAGAAUCCCCCUCCGGUGGUGAAACAGAGAGAGACUGGCCCUUUAGGGACCAGUCUUUCCUUUAAUAAAUAUAACUCUCUCUAUUAUAAUAGAGAGAGAUAUAUUUAUUAUGUUAAUAAAUAGAUAUCUCUAUAUUAUAAUAUAGAGAUAUCUAUUUAUUAUGUAUUUAUAUAUUAUAAAAAUAUAUAAAUAUUAAAUAUUAAAUUUAAAUAUUAAAAAAAAUAUAUAAAUAUUAAAUAUUAAAAAAAAUAUUUAUAUAUAUUUUAUAUCUAACAUAAUGAGUAUCUAUAAUAUAAUAUAUUAUAGAUACUCAUUAUGCAGUUCUUCUCGUGCGUUAUAACGCACGUAAUUUUAAUCCUCGUGUGGGACAUUAGGGGGGGUCUUAAAACCCCGAUUCUCUGUACUAAACAUCAUCAUACAACAAGUUUUUAUCCUGGGGUGGGUACCCUUUUAAGGCACUUCUUACAUCAAGCAACAAACACAAACACCAAACCUCCUGACCUCCGAACUCGACAACUCAAACUCAACAACUCAAACUCAACAACUCAACUCCUGACCUCCGAACUCAACAACUCAACUCCUCAACUUUCAACUCAACCUACCCAUUCCUUGUUCCUAUUUCCAAAUUUCCUAGUUCCGAUUUCCCUCUCCUCUAAUUCCUAGUUUCAGUUUCGACCCUUCUCUUCUCCCCUCCGUGGUCCCCUUUCCGGAUCGGGGACCACUUCGGCCUCGCUUCGCUCCUUUUCUCUCAAGGUUUCUCAAAAAAGAAAAAGAAAUUACGUAAGUGAGCACAGAAACUUCUACCUUCAUCCGAAGUGGGAGCUCUAAAGGCUGUGCUUGGGGUAUCUUUCGAGAAUUGAUACCCCGGGGAAGUGGUAUUGGUGACACCACUUCCCUAUGCCCAUGUUGACCGACGUUGGCUCCAUACGGAGGGAACGGGGGAUUCUUUUGGUUGGGGAAUGUUUUUUGCUUAACACAUCAAAUCACAAAAAAACAUCCCCCUUAAGAAUCCCCCUCCGGUGGUGAAACAGAGAGAGACUGGCCCUUUAGGGACCAGUCUUUCCUUUAAUAAAUAUAACUCUCUCUAUUAUAAUAGAGAGAGAUAUAUUUAUUAUGUUAAUAAAUAGAUAUCUCUAUAUUAUAAUAUAGAGAUAUCUAUUUAUUAUGUAUUUAUAUAUUAUAAAAAUAUAUAAAUAUUAAAUAUUAAAUUUAAAUAUUAAAAAAAAUAUAUAAAUAUUAAAUAUUAAAAAAAAUAUUUAUAUAUAUUUUAUAUCUAACAUAAUGAGUAUCUAUAAUAUAAUAUAUUAUAGAUACUCAUUAUGCAGUUCUUCUCGUGCGUUAUAACGCACGUAAUUUUAAUCCUCGUGUGGGACAUUAGGGGGGGUCUUAAAACCCCGAUUCUCUGUACUAAACAUCAUCAUACAACAAGUUUUUAUCCUGGGGUGGGUACCCUUUUAAGGCACUUCUUACAUCAAGCCAACAAACACAAACACCAAACCUCCUGACCUCCGAACUCGACAACUCAAACUCAACAACUCAAACUCAACAACUCAACUCCUGACCUCCGAACUCAACAACUCAACUCCUCAACUUUCAACUCAACCUACCCAUUCCUUGUUCCUAUUUCCAAAUUUCCUAGUUCCGAUUUCCCUCUCCUCUAAUUCCUAGUUUCAGUUUCGACCCUUCUCUUCUCCCCUCCGUGGUCCCCUUUCCGGAUCGGGGACCACUUCGGCCCUCGCUUCGCUCCUUUUCUCUCAAGGUUUCUCAAAAAGAAAAAGAAAUUACGUAAAGUGAGCACAGAAACUUCUACCUUCAUCCGAAGUGGGAGCUCUAAAGGCUGUGCUUUGGGGUAUCUUUCGAGAAUUGAUACCCCGGGGAAGUGGUAUUGGUGACACCACUUCCCUAUGCCCAUGUUGACCGACGUUGGCUCCAUACGGAGGGAACGGGGGAUUCUUUUGGUUGGGGGAAUGUUUUUUUGCUUAACACAUCAAAUCACAAAAAAACAUCCCCCUUAAGAAUCCCCCUCCGGUGGUUGAAACAGAGAGAGACUGGCCCUUUAGGGACCAGUCUUUCCUUUAAUAAAUAUAACUCUCUCUAUUAUAAUAGAGAGAGAUAUAUUUAUUAUGUUAAUAAAUAGAUAUCUCUAUAUUAUAAUAUAGAGAUAUCUUUAUUAUGUAUUUAUAUAUUAUAAAAAUAUAUAAAUAUUAAAUAUUAAAUUUAAAAUAUUAAAAAAUAUAUAAAUAUUAAAUAUUAAAAAAAAUAUUUAUAUAUAUUUUAUAUCUAACAUAAUGAGUAUCUAUAAUAUAAUAUAUUAUAGAUACUCAUUAUGCAGUUCUUCUCGUGCGUUAUAACGCACGUAAUUUUAAUCCUCGUGUGGGACAUUAGGGGGGUCUUAAAACCCCGAUUCUCUGUACUAAACAUCAUCAUACAACAAGUUUUAUCCUGGGGUGGGUACCCUUUUAAGGCACUUCUUACAUCAAGCAACAAACACAAACACCAAACCUCCUGACCUCCGAACUCGACAACUCAAACUCAACAACUCAAACUCAACAACUCAACUCCUGACCUCCGAACUCAACAACUCAACUCCUCAACUUUCAACUCAACCUACCCAUUCCUUGUUCCUAUUUCCAAAUUUCCUAGUUCCGAUUUCCCUCUCCUCUAAUUCCUAGUUUCAGUUUCGACCCUUCUCUUCUCCCCUCCGUGGUCCCCUUUCCGGAUCGGGACCACUUCGGCCUCGCUUUCGCUCCCUUUUCUCUCAAGGUUUCUCAAAAAAAGAAAAAGAAAUUACGUAAGUGAGCACAGAAACUUCUACCUCAUCCGGAAGUGGGAGCUCUAAAGGCUGUGCUUGGGGUAUCUUUCGAGAAUUGAUACCCGGGGAAGUGGUAUUGGUGACACCACUUCCCUAUGCCCAUGUGACCGGACGUUGGCUCCAUACGGAGGAACGGGGAUUCUUUUGGUUGGGGAAUGUUUUUUGCUUAACACAUCAAAUCACAAAAAAACAUCCCCCUUAAGAAUCCCCCUCCGGUGGUGAAACAGAGAGAGACUGGCCCUUUAGGGACCAGUCUUUCCUUUAAUAAAUAUAACUCUCUCUAUUAUAAUAGAGAGAGAUAUAUUUAUUAUGUUAAUAAAUAGAUAUCUCUAUAUUAUAAUAUAGAGAUAUCUAUUUAUUAUGUAUUUAUAUAUUAUAAAAAUAUAUAAAUAUUAAAUAUUAAAUUUAAAUAUUAAAAAAAAUAUAUAAAUAUUAAAUAUUAAAAAAAAUAUUUAUAUAUAUUUUAUAUCUAACAUAAUGAGUAUCUAUAAUAUAAUAUAUUAUAGAUACUCAUUAUGCAGUUCUUCUCGUGCGUUAUAACGCACGUAAUUUUAAUCCUCGUGUGGACAUUAGGGGGGUCUUAAAACCCCGAUUCUCUGUACUAAUACAUCAUCAUACAACAAGUUUUUAUCCUGGGGUGGGUACCUUUUAAGGCACUUCUUACAUCAAGCAAACAAACACAAACACCAAACCUCCCUGACCUCCGAACUCGACAACUCAAACUCAACAACUCAAACUCAACAACUCAACUCCCUGACCUCCGAACUCAACAACUCAACUCCUCAACUUUCAACUCAACCUACCCAUUCCUUGUUCCUAUUUUCCAAAUUUCCUAGUUCCGAUUUCCCUCUCCUCUAAUUCCUAGUUUCAGUUUCGACCCUUCUCUUCUCCCCUCCGUGGUCCCCUUUCCGGAUCGGGGGACCACUUCGGCCUCGCUUCGCUCCUUUUCUCUCAAGGUUUCUCAAAAAAGAAAAAGAAAUUACGUAAGUGAGCACAGAAACUUCUACCUUCAUCCGAAGUGGGAGCUCUAAAGGCUGUGCUUGGGGUAUCUUUCGAGAAUUGAUACCCCGGGGAAGUGGUAUUGGUGACACCACUUCCCUAUGCCCAUGUUGACCGACGUUGGCUCCAUACGGAGGGAACGGGGGAUUCUUUUGGUUGGGGAAUGUUUUUUGCUUAACACAUCAAAUCACAAAAAAACAUCCCCCUUAAGAAUCCCCCUCCGGGUGGUGAAACAGAGAGAGACUGGCCCUUUAGGGACCAGUCUUUCCUUUAAUAAAUAUAAACUCUCUCUAUUAUAAUAGAGAGAGAUAUAUUUAUUAUGUUAAUAAAUAGAUAUCUCUAUAUUAUAAUAUAGAGAUAUCUAUUUAUUAUGUAUUUAUAUAUUAUAAAAA